GUGCCAGCAGCCGCGGUAAGACGUAGGGGGCGAGCGUUGUCCGGAUUUAUUGGGCGUAAAGAGCGCGUAGGCGGCCCGGAAAGUCGGAUGUGAAAACCCGGGGCUCAACCCCGGGCCUGCAUCCGAUACUCCCGGGCUGGAGGCAGGUAGGGGAGAUCGGAAUUCCUGGUGUAGCGGUGAAAUGCGCAGAUAUCAGGAGGAACACCGGUGGCGAAGGCGGAUCUCUGGGCCUGUCCUGACGCUGAGGCGCGAAAGCUAGGGGAGCGAACAGGAUUAGAAACCCCCGUAGUCC
RNAcentral lists this ribosomal RNA (292 nucleotides) under uncultured bacterium. Its description in RNAcentral is "partial 16S ribosomal RNA". It matches the Rfam family "Bacterial small subunit ribosomal RNA", at positions 505 to 796 of the family's 1533-position model. The record is from RNAcentral.